RNAcentral lists this ribosomal RNA (254 nucleotides) under uncultured bacterium. RNAcentral's name for it is "partial 16S ribosomal RNA". It matches the Rfam family "Bacterial small subunit ribosomal RNA", at positions 524 to 777 of the family's 1533-position model. The record is from RNAcentral.
UACGGAGGAUCCAAGCGUUAUCCGGAUUUAUUGGGUUUAAAGGGUGCGUAGGCGGCCUAUUAAGUCAGGGGUGAAAGACGGUGGCUCAACCAUCGCAGUGCCUUUGAUACUGAUAGGCUUGAAUACACUAGAGGUAGGCGGAAUGUGACAAGUAGCGGUGAAAUGCAUAGAUAUGUCACAGAACACCGAUUGCGAAGGCAGCUUACUAUGGUGUCAUUGACGCUGAGGCACGAAAGCGUGGGGAUCAAACAGGA